UGGGGAAUCUUAGACAAUGGGCGCAAGCCUGAUCUAGCCAUGCCGCGUGAUCGAUGAAGGCCUUAGGGUUGUAAAGAUCUUUCAGGGGGGAAGAUAAUGACUGUACCCCCAGAAGAAGCCCCGGCUAACUCCGUGCCAGCAGCCGCGGUAAUACGGAGGGGGCUAGCGUUGUUCGGAAUUACUGGGCGUAAAGCGCACGUAGGCGGACUGGAAAGUUGGAGGUGAAAUCCCAGGGCUCAACCUUGGAACU
Molecule: ribosomal RNA, 250 nt
Filed under: uncultured bacterium
Lineage: Bacteria
Description: partial 16S ribosomal RNA
Rfam family: Bacterial small subunit ribosomal RNA
Source: RNAcentral